UACGAAGGGGGCUAGCGUUGCUCGGAAUCACUGGGCGUAAAGCGCACGUAGGCGGCUUUUUAAGUCAGGGGUGAAAUCCUGGAGCUCAACUCCAGAACUGCCUUUGAUACUGGGGAUCUUGAGUCCGGAAGAGGUGAGUGGAACUCCGAGUGUAGAGGUGAAAUUCGUAGAUAUUCGGAAGAACACCAGUGGCGAAGGCGGCUCACUGGUCCGGUACUGACGCUGAGGUGCGAAAGCGUGGGGAGCAAACAGG
This 253-nucleotide ribosomal RNA is filed under the name uncultured bacterium. RNAcentral describes it as "partial 16S ribosomal RNA". It matches the Rfam family "Bacterial small subunit ribosomal RNA", at positions 524 to 776 of the family's 1533-position model. The record is from RNAcentral.